This 508-nucleotide ribosomal RNA is filed under the name uncultured bacterium. RNAcentral's name for it is "partial 16S ribosomal RNA". It matches the Rfam family "Bacterial small subunit ribosomal RNA", at positions 28 to 523 of the family's 1533-position model. The record is from RNAcentral.
GAUGAACGCUAGCUACAGGCUUAACACAUGCAAGUCGAGGGGAAACGACAUCGAAAGCUUGCUUUCGAUGGGCGUCGACCGGCGCACGGGUGAGUAACGCGUAUCCAACCUGCCCACCACUUGGGGAUAACCUUGCGAAAGUAAGACUAAUACCCAAUGAUAUCUCUAGAAGACAUCUGAAAGAGAUUAAAGAUUUAUCGGUGAUGGAUGGGGAUGCGUCUGAUUAGCUUGUUGGCGGGGUAACGGCCCACCAAGGCUACGAGCAGUAGGGGUUCUGUGAGGAAGGUCCCCCACAUUGGAACUGAGACACGGUCCAAACUCCUACGGGAGGCAGCAGUGAGGAAUAUUGGUCAAUGGACGAGAGUCUGAACCAGCCAAGUAGCGUGCAGGAUGACGGCCCUAUGGGUUGUAAACUGCUUUUAUAAGGGAAUAAAGUGAGUCUCGUGAGACUUUUUGCAUGUACCUUAUGAAUAAGGACCGGCUAAUUCCGUGCCAGCCGCCGCAGUAA